CGCGAAACCUUUACACUGCACGACAGUGCGAUAGGGGAACUCCGAGUGCGAGGGCAUAGAGCCCUCGCUUUUCUGCACCGUAAGGUGGUGCAGGAACAAGUGCUGGGCAAGACCGGUGCCAGCCGCCGCGGUAAUACCGGCAGCACGAGUGAUGGCCGAUCUUAUUGGGCCUAAAGCGUCCGUAGCUGGCCGUGCAAGUCCGUCGGGAAAUCCAGUGGCUCAACCUCUGGGCUUCCGGCGGAAACUGCUCGGCUUGGGACCGGAAGACUCGAGGGGUACGUUCGGGGUAGGAGUGAAAUCCCGUAAUCCUGAACGGACCACUGAUGGCGAAAGCACCUCGAGAGCACGGAUCCGACAGUGAGGGACGAAAGCUAGGGUCUCGAACCGGAUUAGAUACCCGGGUAGUCCUAGCUGUUAACGAUGCCCGCUCGGUUCGGCGCAGGCUACGAGCCUGUGCCGCGCCUCAGUGAAGACGUAAGCGGGCCGCCUGGGAAGUACGUCCGCAAGGAUGAAACUUAAAGGAAUUGGCGAGGGAGCACUACAACCGGAGGAGCCUGCGGUUUAAUUG
This 568-nucleotide ribosomal RNA is filed under the name haloarchaeon enrichment culture clone B1A-C3. RNAcentral describes it as "bacterial SSU rRNA". It matches the Rfam family "Archaeal small subunit ribosomal RNA", at positions 340 to 908 of the family's 1478-position model. Lineage: Archaea; Methanobacteriati; Methanobacteriota; Halobacteria; Halobacteriales. The record is from RNAcentral.